AAUGGUGCUCGCAUAGAUUCGCGCUCGUAAGCGUGCCACAACUUUAUUCAAUUGAUAAUCUUUAAUUCGGCAAUAUAAUUGGCUGACUAUUUUUUUUGUUUAAACUAUCAUCUGACGAGGCUUUAUUAUAAUGUCAUAUUUAUAACAUAAAUAAAAAUCAGUUUUGGCGGUUUUGGUCAAAAAAAUCUAUCGUUGGCUCCCGGAGUAUAAUGUAAUCCGCAUAUCUUAUAUACAAUGCUAGAUGGCAUUAUUAUAUACAAACAUGUUAUGGACACAAGAGUUGUAUAGAUUUUGAGUAGUUUCGUUUUUUUUUAUUUCAAAGAAAGUGAGGUUAAAUUUCUUUUUCGCCACGUGUUCGUUAUAAUAAAAAAAAAUGGAUUCAGCAUCAGGAAUACACAGAAUAGAGACAUUAUCGAAAAAUAAUUAUAAAACCUGGAAAGUCUAUAUGGAAGCAUGUCAAAAAUAUGGUUAACGAGAAAUAGAAAUUGGAAAUAUGUUGGUAAAUGUUCGAAACCAGAUCUUAUAGAAUGAUUUUAUAGAAACUCUUUCAUAAAAAUGUUGAAAUUUGGAAAGAAACUGAUUCCAUGGCGAAGACUAAUUUGUUGUUAGCGAUAAAUCUUUUGAAGUCAGGCAAGUAAAAAAAUUUACAGAUAUCUUAUGAAAUUUAUAAAAAAUUAGAAGAAAUUUAUCAAUCAAAAAGUUUUUGCAGAAAGGCUGUUUUAUUUCAUAAAUUUUAUUUUACAUAGAAUGUAAGAGAAUGAUGAUAUAAAAAUACAAAUGAAUGAUUUUUUUGAAAUGAUUGAUAAGUUGUGUAAGAUUACUAUUGAAAUAAAUGAGAAAUUGUUAUUGUAUAUACGUAAUGUAUACGUAUUGUAUAUACGUCUGCUUUUAAUAAUUUGUCAGAAAGUUUUCAGGUUUUUAAAUGUAUGCAAUCUAGAGAUAAUUUACCAAAUAGAUGUUGUUAAGAUAAAAAUUUUAGAAGAUUUAGAUUCAAAAAAAAUGAAUUGAAAAAUAGUCAAAUGUUAUUGGCUCAAAUAUGUAAAGGAAAACAGCAUUUUAAAUCACAAGAAGAAAGACUAUAAAAAUAAUAAUAUAUAGAUAAUAAUAAGAGGUUUAUUAAUAUUAAAUGUUUUAAAUAUCAAAAAUAUGGUCAUAAAAUGUAUGAAUGACUAUAAAGAUAAUAAUAAUACUUAUUCGUAUUUGCAUAAGAGUAAUAGAAGCGAAAAUCAAAUUCACAUUUGGUAUUUAGAUAGCGGUUGCACUUCUCAUAUAUUUCAAUGAAAAAAGAUUUUCUGAUUUAGAUACAAAUCAAAAUAUAAUAGUACAUUAAAUCUUACUACUAGUACUUGUGUUAAAGGUGUAAGAGAUAUUAAAGCUAUAUUUAAGAAUAGUGAAAUCACUAGAUUGCUAAUUUGCAUAAUGCUUUAUUCCAAAUUUAAGAACUGAUUUUCUGUAGCCAAGAUUGCAAAUCAAGUAUAACAGUAAUUUUUCAAAGAAAUAAAGCAUUAAGUUUUAUAGAAAAUAAUGAGCUAUAUCCAUUAGUAUAACAAAAAAAUUAUAUAAUUCUAUUUUUUAAAAAUUAAACUUGUCUUUCAUUUGAUCUUUAUAUAUCCAUGUAAAAAAAGUUUAUUAGAUUAUUUCCUAAAACUUGUCAAAUAUUUGACUGAAUUGAUUUAAAUGGGACAAUCUAUAUAUAAUUUUUUUAUAUGUUAUUCUAUUGUUACUAUAGUUUGUAUAGAAUAGUUUGUAUAGAAUAGUUAUUAUCAUUAAAUUUUAUGCAUUA
Molecule: long non-coding RNA, 1783 nt
Organism: Apis laboriosa (Himalayan honeybee)
Lineage: Eukaryota; Metazoa; Arthropoda; Insecta; Hymenoptera; Apidae
Exons: 3
Source: RefSeq, a predicted model, not a curated record